RNAcentral lists this ribosomal RNA (253 nucleotides) under uncultured bacterium. RNAcentral describes it as "partial 16S ribosomal RNA". It matches the Rfam family "Bacterial small subunit ribosomal RNA", at positions 524 to 776 of the family's 1533-position model. The record is from RNAcentral.
UACGUAGGGUGCGAGCGUUGUCCGGAUUUAUUGGGCGUAAAGAGCUCGUAGGCGGCUUGUCGCGUCGGCCGUGAAAUCUCCACGCUUAACGUGGAGCGUGCGGUCGAUACGGGCAGACUUGAGUUCGGUAGGGGAGACUGGAAUUCCUGGUGUAGCGGUGAAAUGCGCAGAUAUCAGGAGGAACACCGGUGGCGAAGGCGGGUCUCUGGGCCGAUACUGACGCUGAGAAGCGAAAGCGUGGGGAGCGAACAGG